GUGUGGGGGAGCAGAGGUAUGUAUAUAUGGUACAAACUAAAGCUGAGACAGAUGCUCCAAUGUACUGAUACAUUUGAAGGCACUUUGUGAGCAUAUGCUGUGCAUAUUAUCAUCAGGGGCUCACCUUGAGUUAUCAGUGUGUCAGAGGCAGAAAAGAGGAGAGUGGAACACAGAGUUCUGACUCCCAUCCCUGGGCUUUCCCCACUCCACUUCCCUGUGGGGAAUAUGCAUGCCACGUCUCUCUUCUGACAUUUCCUGGUUAUUUAGACAUUAGCUCCAGCACAGCCUGCACAGGUCUAGUGCCUUGUGGGAGAAAGUCAGUUAAUUAAAGUCCCCUCAUGCCAUUUUUCAUCACUUCUCUAUGAUUUUCAUAAUAAGGUGAAAUCAUCAAAGAGAAGCCAAGAUUGCUCCAUGGAGAGAUGGUGGGGGAGGAGAGAUUCAGCCCUUAAGAGAAAAGCUCAGGAAGUUGGAGAUUUGAGCCAACAAGAGCUGGGCCUGAGAGCAUUGCAAAGCUGCCUCUGGAGAGGGACAAGGAAUAUCUGUGGGGUAUGUGCUCGGGGUGGAGGAUGGGGUAUGUGAUCAGCAGACCAAAAGGAAUUCUCUUCAGUUUCAUUUUCACUCUGUAUGUGGAGUAGAACAGCAUUGUUUAAAAAGAUUGAUAGAUUAAUUAUAAAUAGAUCUAUCUACUUAUCUAAUUACCUACAUACAUAAUAUAAUAAUAAAGAAAACUACAAACUUCCCAGGGAAGAGGGUUGAAAAUUUGUCACAACUGCUUUCUGGCUAUGCCUGAAUAUUUUAGAGAUUUUGGUUUAAACUAAAGGUAACAAAGGUAACAAAAGGUAACAAAAAUGCAUAAGUUUAUGCUAUAAUAUUGGUUUAGUUUUCAUCAACUGAUAUUUGUAUUCUACAUUAUAGAAAAUAGGUUAAAAUAUGAACUUAUGAACACAUGACACCAAAGAAUAUUUCCAGUAUGAACAAGGUAGAGUACCUGCAUCAACCACUUUUAUGUUUAUGACAUCAUUCUAGUUUGAUUAUGGAGGCCAGGUGAAGACAAUUUUUUACAAAAUUUCCUCAAUUUAGAGCUAUUCUUUAUACUGCCAAUUUUGGGGGCAUGCCAGAGGAAAACAUAGCAAGAGAAGGCCCAGUGUUAACCUAGUGUAGAGUAUGCAUUCCAUUCUCUAGUCUACAUCAUCUGUAGGUUAUGUUUUCUGGGACUGUAAUCUGUGUUUAAGUAAAAAUAUAGGAAUUGGAGAUUAGGUCAUUAUCCUCUUUGUUUGCUCACUGUAAACAAACCAUAAAAUAAUUCAAACUACAAUAUCUUUGUCUCUCUGCAGGUUCAUCUGUCUGAGCACAUGAAUCAUGCUCUCACCCUUCACCUUACCUUGCCAGAGCAAUAUGAAUUUAAUGGCGUCCAGAUGUCUUGGACAGAUUUGCCUCCAUCACUGUACCUUACACUAACAGUAAAGAUAAGGCCUUGAUAGUUCUUUUUAUUUCUUAAACUCAAAGUUGAUUAAUCCAUAAGGGCAAAGUGUUUCCAAAACAUAUAUUAAGAAAAUAGAUGGAUGUUACAUUUCAAUCAAAUGGGCAAUCCCAGGAGAAUUUUAGGAAGGUUUUGGAGAUUGGGGAACUGAGAAAAUAAUAUAUAUUUAUCAAUAGAACUUUUGUAGCUUACCUACAAGACAUUUCAAAUAUUUGCCCUCAAAACAAGAAUGAUUGCCUAGCACAUCUUGUUCUGAUUCAUAAAUGUGAGUUUUGGGAGGUGAAGACUCACAUGAGAUAGGACUCUACCUAGGGUUCCCCAGAUGGCAAGGUGCUAUCACCUGCAGUAAAUUCUAAUUCCAUAGCAAUGGUCAUCUCUCCUUAGGGUUUAUCCUCCUGGGGUGCACAAAGGUCUCCUCUGGUCUGCCUGAAGGGCUUCUCUAAAGAGAAGAUGGAGUGGUCCCCAAAGAGUGAGGCCCUGUCAGGGAGAUUCUGCAUCCCAAACAUGACAGAGAUGGUUUACAAGAGUCUCCUGGAAGACAUUUUCUUUGUCUUUCAGGAAGAUUAAGCUUCAUCCUCCCUGUGGCUAAGCAUGAUCUGGUGCCUAAGUGCUGGACAGUGAGAUGUAAACAGAAAUGGUGGUCAGCUUCUGAGCACCUUUCCUGAGGGACAGCCAUCGAUGUCUUUGAGUCCUCUCCUCCUUUGUUUCUUCCCCACUUUAUAGACUAGAAGUUGGACUACACUAGAGAUGGUGGAGACGGACACUCAAGCUGGAUCCUCAAGGACUUUCUGAAACUGCCAUCACAGCUCUGCAUUUGCUAUAAACCUUGAUUUCUUUUAGGUAAGAGAGAAAUAUAUUUUUCAUCUUUGGAAGCAGUUUCUUGAUCCAUGUCAGUAGGUGACCAAGUUCUCCCGGGUAUCCUUCAGGACCAGCUACUCUUCGUAGCUGUUAAUUCAUAAUGAUGAAUAACAUGUGAGCAACUUCUUAAGAUUCUUUUUUCUCCUUAUUUCUAAGACAAGUUAAGUGAACUUCAUAGAAUUCAAAAUGGGUUCUGCCCUUUGAAAUAGUAUAAAGGGAGAGUUAAGCAUGAUACAAAUAAUCCAAGUGGAUAUGCUUAAAAGAGGUCAGAGGAAGCAGGAAAGAGUCCAAGAUUCUCUAAUUAUCCAAAAUUUAUUAUACAAAAUUUAUAAAGAGAGCAGAUGGGAAAGGUAGAGACCCUAUUCAGAAAAAAUAAGCUCAUCAAAGAUUGUUGGCAUAAUGGCAAAACCCCAGUUCACUGCAAGUUUUGCUAUCUCUUACACUCAAGGACUUUUGUACCAAUUAGAGCAGAAACGGUUCUGUCUCAGUUUUUCUGAGAUGUUGACUUGUCAUUGAACUCUCAGCCUCAGUUGACACCUCAUCCUUGACUGGAAACCUCUCUUAUACUUCAUUUAGCACAGGGGGUGGGAAGCCACAGCUCAUAGACCCAAACAUGGUCUAAGGGUUAAGAAUGCUAUUUAUAUUCUUAAAUGGUUCAAAAAAUUAAGAGGAAAAUAACAUUUUGUGACAAGAAAAUUACAUGAGACUAACACUUCAAUGUCUAUACACAAAGUUAUAUUUGCACAUAGCCAUGGCUGUUCAUUACACAUUAUGUAUGGCUGUUUUCACACUAUGAUGGCAAAGUUACAUAGCUCAACAUAGCCUGCGUGGCUCACAGAGACUCAGGUAGUCAUUAUCUGGCCCUUUACAGAGACAGCUUACCAACCUCAGAUCUAGCACUAUACGCCAUCUUGGUUUUGGAAUUCAUAAAUAAAAUCCUAAAAUUUGAGAGUAGAAAGAGGAUUUAGAAAGUCCCUGUUGACAUCUCUGAUUCAUAUCUAGCUAAGGACAGCAGACUUAUUUUUUGUGCAGUUAUUUCAUUCUUAGAUAUUUAUUUAAUAUCUAAAUGUUGUAGUAGAUAUUUACUUAAUUAUUUACUUUAAAUGUUUAGUUAAGAGGAAAUGGUCUGAUGUUCACUGGUCUUAAUUCUAUUGAGCAUGACCAAGGAUUGCCACAUAAUAAGUGCUUUAAGAUAUUUAAUAAUUUAACACUUACUUAGCGUUUACUAUAUGACAGGAUUGUUCUAAAUACUUGACAAGUGACUCAUAGAAUAUACUGAAAGGUCAGAGAACACUUUACAGAGAUAGAUACUGAGGUACAUAGAGGUUACAAAUUUACCAAGUACACAUAGUUUGUCGGAGGCAGAGUUGGGAUUACAACCCAGUUUGACUUUGGAAUCCAGGAUUUCUGUUGCUCCAUAUAUUUAAGAGUGCAUGAAUAAACAUUUAAUAGCUGCAGUCUUUCAAAUAUGUGAAGAUAACUACCAAAUUCCUAGAAAAAAAAUACAUUUAUAGAAAUUCCAAAAGCUAAUACUUACAGAGUAUUAUACUCUAUAUAAUACUUAAAGAGAAACACAAGAGAAUAAAGUCUUACAGUACUUUCUGCUUUCUCUAACUAAUCAUUCUAGGUACCCACAGAAUGGUAAGGGGUUUGAAAACCACUUAGUAUAAAAAGAGAUUGAAGCCUUUAGGAUAUUUAACCUGGAGAAGAGAACUCCUGUUAGGAAAAUAUGGGAGCAGUUCUAGGCUUUCCAUGGCAUCCAUACAGCCAGAGGAUGCAAGGACAUUUUUCCCAGAACCUACUUUCAGAAUAAAGAGACAUACUUUCUAGAAGCUUCCAGGAAAACUGUUUUAGGCAAAGUCCCUCAAAAACCAGAUACCAAGAUGAGAUUUUUAUCUGCUGGGCUUUCAUGGAGAAAAACAAGUAUGGAUGCAAACAGGGAGCUGGGAAGGCUGGCAGAGCAGUCAGAAGAUGAGGGAAUGCUGACGUGGAGUGAAGGAAAGAGGGCGAGAGGUUGGUGGAAGUGCUUGUACUGUGUGGUCUAAGCACAGUCUUAAGGGAAUUCUUUAGCCAACAUCAGCUGACUUAGAAAUUUUGUCUCCCAGGAACCAACCUGUGUUCAUAUUCCUUCAGAUCCAUAAACUUGGGGAUGACUGCCAGACUGCAGCACCUGGGCCCUUGAUCAGUUGUGCCACGGGAAUGAAUAGGAGGAUAAGGUUUCAACAGGAGGAGUCUUGAUUUGGUGCUUGCUUCUCUGUAUGGCAGGGGUCUUACAGUAAACAGGUUUGAUUGGCAUUUUGGCAAUCAAAUCUCUGGGAGUCUCCACGGCUACACUAGAACUUGAGCAGGAGCUAGAACAGGGUGCCAACCUGAAGUAAGCAUUCUCAAACUAGGGGUUUCCAUCUGGGAGUUCUUACAACUGGGCUUCCCUGCCUAAUGGCUUCAACAUCACUCAAUUCACACACAGCUCAGUUCACAUAUGGGUCAGGAUGGCUUCCGGCAUACGAGGACAUUAAAGUCUUAGGGGGUUAAGAAAUCUUCCUGAGAACACAACAGGUAAGUAGGUGGCUGGUUGAUUGCAAAGUUAUAGCAUCUCCUCCACUUCAAAUUCUUACUAUGGCCAUCUCUCUUCCAGCUUGCUUCAACAAAGCAUUUUAGAUUUGCUUUUCAGGGCUUCUUCUCUUCUGGGUGAGACUGGGAGAGCUUUGUGUCCUCUUAGGUACUGUAUUAAUGCAUUCCACCAACACCGGCUUGAGAUGGCAACUGAAGGCUCUUGAGGCUGGCACAACACCAACUAGAAGGUCAGUUUGUCCUUAAUGUCCAAUAAUUGCAGGUAGCCAAAUACAGUACAGUGCUCAGGAAUAACAUCACUUGGCUGACCUCAUAAGGAAAACUGUUUAAUGUAUCCAUUUUGGUUGCUUAGUUAUAUGCUGAUACACACCAAGAUCAUGUGAAGCUGGCACUUUAGGGAGCCAACGGAAAGACAGACAAUGACCAAAAUAACAAGGACGGUGGAGAGAGUUUCAAGGGUCAUCUCAGUGACAACUCAGACAAAGUAAUCUUUACUGUGGGUUUGCCCUAAUUUAAGGAAUACAAAUUAACAACACAGAUAAGUAAAGAAGUGAGUAUGUAUUGCAAAGAAAAGGCAUAAUGAAUUUACAGAAGGAUUCAGUGUAAGAGCCCCUUAAAUAUCAAUUAAGUGCAUUUAAAAUAUAAUUCAUUAUAUAUAAUAUCAUUUACUAUCGUUUUCAAGAGUACAACCAUUGGGUUAAGGGCUGUUCACCUAUGCUUUGAAAAAAAUACAAUUCAAAUAACUUCCACAAGAAGUUUAAUACAUUUUCUUAUGUCUUUAAUACAUUUUUUAUGUCUAUACAUUCAAGAAUAUUCAUGAAGGCUUUAUUAUGUACAAGACACACUACUGAAUUCUAAGACACUGACUUGGUAGAUCUGGGAUGAGGCCAGAUUAUGCAUUCCUAACAAGUUCCCAGACCACACUGGGUAGAAAGGGCUUCUAGAGAUUCAACUAGAAAAGGUGAGGCUCUGAGUGUCAGAGCCCAAUACCACUGUAGGUUGAGUCAGGGAAGGAUGCUGUUCCCAUCCAAUAGAUGGGUCUCUGGCAACAGCACCUGCGCCAGCACAAUCACAGCAUGCCCUUGGCUUCCGUUGCUGCUGCUGGUCAGUGGGUUUUGCAGUCCCUGAAGCUGGAGUGAAUUCCUAUUUGCAGGAAUCUUUGUAGUCUCAAAGACAUGAGUGAGAGCGGAUAUCUUCUUUCUGCCUCUGUAGUGAGAGGCAGGCUGUGCUUCCCACAAUGACUCACCAUAGGAAAAAUUGAUCUUCCUCAAACCUGGAAGGAAGAUCAGAACUGGACAGCCGAAAUAUGAUAAUGUCUACUAUAAAAAUUAUGUCAACUUAUAUAUAUAUAUAUAUAUAUAUAUAUAUAUAUAUAUAUAUAUAUAAAAACUCCACUUAUUGAUGUGGCUCACCAAUACAUGAUCCACUAUACAGAGAUAAACUUCCCAGGAACCCAUGCAGUCACAUGGCUUUAACCUUGGACGUGCCAAUCUUCCUCCAACCUUGAAUAGAAGGAACAGAUAUUCUGCAUUAACACGUCAUGCUAAUAUGGGCUCUUCCUUAUUUGCAGUAAAAAACAUUUCACAUUCCAAUUCUCAUUUGCUUUAUUUUUCUUUUUACUGAAUUUUUUUUCUUGUGUUAGGGAAUAUAUCUCUGGAUUUAGUUUAUGAGGAUCAAUCAAAUCCCAGAGGCAUUCAGUUCAUCCUCAUGAUGGGAUUUCCAGGGCUAUUUCUCCAAUAUUAAAAAAUAAAGGUAAAUCUUAUGCUGCAGUUAAGAAGAAUGAGAAAUGUCAAAGUGUACACCGGUUUGUUCCCCUUUUAGGAUCACUAUCCCCAACCAAAUUGUAAGCUGGCUUUCAUUAAAAUGUGAUAUUUAUCUUUCCAAAGUGAAUUUGUCUUCCUCUGAUAAGAAGAGAAAAAAUGUCACUAUUUGCUGCUAAAUAAAUAAAUAUAGGAACAGACACAUGAUUCUUUUAAUGAAAACCAUAAUUUGAAAACAAUAUCUUUCUUAAAUGUACAGUACACUAAUAGAGGCAAAAAUUGGCAUAAGAAUUCAAAUAAAUUCUGGGCUGGGGGUGUAGCUCAGUGGUAGAACAUGUGCUUGACCCAGCAGCACAAAAAUAAUUAAAUAAAUUCUAUCAUGUUCCAAGAAGAUAUGGACAAAGAUGCUUAUCAAAAUUAUAAUAUAGACUUUUGUUUCCACAUACUGUCUCUCAUUGCUAGUCAGUGAAGGGCAGGAAUCAUAAACAGGCAUUUUCUAUGUAGGAAAGAAGACAGUAGGUUUAGACUGUUGGGUUAGACAGAGAAAAGGGAUCCAGGAGACUCAAUCACCUGACUGAAUUAUCCACUAUUGAAUCAGGUAUAAAACAGCACAUCAAUUAGGGGUCCAAUAUGUGAAGCAGGCACAGAUUCUCAGGGGAUAAACAGAUUGCCCCAGACCAGGCCUGACACCAUAGGACAGGCAGAGAACUUGUGUUCUCUUUUCAUGUCUGGACAAACAAAAGACUUAGCUCAUCUAAUUUUAAAACUAACAAUGGGGAUCUUCAACAUUUACUUCACAAAUACAGCAAAUUGGAAGUGCAUUGGUCUGGAGGCCUAAUUUUAAUUCUGUUUCUGACACUCUUUCCUCAUCUGAGGAAUGAGAAGUUUGGAAUAAAUGACCAUAAUGAUUUUUCUUUCUUGGCAUGUCAAUCAAAAGACUAAAAUGAUUUCUGUCUACGACAUGCUCUGUUAGAAGGAGAGGGAUGGGAUUAGGAAAGAACUUUAGAGGUGAGGGAAAUGAAAAACUUGAAGAAACACCUAGAGAAGGAUGAGAACUGUGGAGAGGUCUUCAGUAGGUAGUUAAUAAGAGGAACUCCAUCCCCUGGAGCUGUGGACUAAGGAAGAGUCUUUGACUUAAUCAUUAAGCCCAUCUGAUUGUUCCCAGCAGCUAAUAUCUGUUUCUUGAGUAGCUUUAUUCUGAAUGAGAUAGUUACAGCAACUCACCAGGAGGUGAAAUGAUUUUUUUGGUGACUAGCAGAGAUAGCCAGAAUACUAUCACUCCAGGAGCAAGAUAUGAAUCUAGUUUAAUAUUGGACUUCAUCACUGAUCUUGAAUGUUCUCUCUUGAGUAAAGGACCCCAAAUCAGUGCAUUUGGAACCAUAAAAUGUGAUUCAGAACCCAGGAGGAGAUAUGCAUCAAAUUCUUAUAUACUUAAACCGAAGAUUAGCCACUGUCACGGAAAUAUCUUAAUGAAGGUGGCUGGCCUUUUGUUUUUCUACAAACAACAUGUUGGAAAAGGAAAAGAGAGAGACUGGGUUUAAGAAAAUAAUUUUUUUUUAAGUUCUCUGGUAAUUGAAAAUUGGCUGCAUUUAUUUUCUGGUUUGGGUUUUUCUUUUUUGGCUUGAACUGUGAAAAGGAGCAAGCAGAAAGAAAUUUUAUUCUGCUUUGACACUGAACACAGUAGCUACACAUAACGCUUUUUAAAGUCCUACCAUAUGCCCAUCUAUCACACACAUAAUUUAGCAUGUACAAAAACUCUGAGAGUCUGAUGGUAUAACCCUUGUUUUGGAUGGUGAUCCUGAAUAGGAAUUUUGAGGUGUAGGGGAGAUCCUCAGAAAUUAUGAAUGAGUUCGGCUAAGGUCUCUUCACUUCAAGUCAGAUGUGCUUAGAGCUGCUACUCAGCUUCUGGAAUCAUCUGGUAGGCAGCUUGGCUGUGAAAGGAGUAUAUUUGGCUCAACUGCAGAUCAAGACACCAACCAGCAACAGCCUAAAAACAGAUACUCGCCCAGCCCUAAAGGCAUCAAUGUGUUUUGGGACUACAACCUUACAAUUGUCCCUUCUGGAACAGUGUUACACACCUCACAGCAUACUGGUUGAAUAAAUGAGUGAAUGCGCUUGCCUCUUUGUCUGCAAAAAUUGACUAUGACUGACGAUACAGAAGUAUUUCCCCAAAGAGUGAAUCUUCCUAAACACAAAAACCUGAAAUGUUAAUAUUCUGAAUUGGUCUCUUUGUCUUGUUCUCUAGAAACUAAUUUCAAUGUCAUCCUGUAACUUGGGUCUAUUCAAGUUCCGAGAACUGCAAUAUAAUAGUAAAUGGCCAAGUUGAUUGUCUUGAGUUCAUUGACCUGUGAAAAGGAGACUUUGGGGGGGGACUUGGGGGGAUGAGCCUGUGUACUCUUGCGUCAUUUAUCAGAAUUACCAAAAGAAAAAGUAGGAUGUAAGUCAACACUUGUCUGUCAGUAGGUAAACCUUGAAUUAUUUGCUAAGUAGGAAAGUAGGUUAAAAACAACUCUUUUAAAAAAAAGAUUUUAUGUGCUGUAGGUCGCUUUAUACAUUAUCAAGUAGCAGCAGACUCUCUUUCUUCUAAAUCAAAGUCAUCAAAGUAUUCAGAGUGGAACAGAACUAGAAUUAUCAGCAUUCACUUUCUCAACUGUAAGAUGUUUUGAACCCUAGAUAAGAAUGGAGCUUAAGAUGAAAAUGGUACCUACAAUAGGUUAAAGAUUUUAAAUUUGGGAAAAAAAAGACCUAACAAAUCUGCAACUAUAGACUAUCAGAAACAAGUGCCAAUCAUGGAAGGAUAAGGUGAAAACAAUACAGCGUGUCACUAUAGCAGAGAUUGUCAUAAAAUAUGGCAAUAGAUGGAGUGGCUCUCCAGCCUUGUACCUGUUUCCACAAUAUUCCACAUAUACAUCAUGCUCUUAUCCAGAAGAUGAAGGACAUAAUGAGAAUCACAGAUGCAGAGCUAUAUUUGUUGGCACAGGAAAAUGUCCAAACAUAUUGCUGACUGGAAAAGCCAGAUUCUAGGACAUUAUGUAGAAUUACAUCUAUAUGUGCACAUUCAUAGAGAGAUGUCUCCAAGGAUAUUCAGCAAAAUGUAAAUGGAGGGUGGGAUUUCAAGUGAUUUCUACUGUCUUGUUUGUACUUUUCUGUAUAAGCAAUUUGAUUGUGUGUGUGUGUGUGUGUGUNACACUGGGUGUGCGGGUGUUUUCCCAACUCACACCAGCUAUAGCAGUUCUCCAGCAGAUUCUCCAACAGACAUCAGCUGGGUGUCCUCCGGUGCAAUUCAAUUCUGACACUCUUUACCUGGAGACAGCUUUGGAUCCCAUGGGUCAAGGGUGCAGUGCCACAGACUGCCUCUCUCCCUUCAGAUGCCAGUGGCAAGUGUGACUUGUGACCUAUGCUUCUGACUGGCUUUACAUCAGGGUUCCUAGGAACCCUUCCUGCAUUCAAUUAAUUUGUGAGAGUGACUCACAGAUCUUAGGGAAAUACAUUUAUCAGUUUCUUAAUAAAGGAUAUAAUAAAGGAUGCACUGAACAGCCUGAAGUAAAAAUGCACAGGGCAAGGAAUGGACAACAGGGCUUGGGUCCUCCAUGUCCUCUUCAGGUCACACCCACAGGAACCUCCCUCCACAUGCUUAGUUAUCAGGAAGUUCCCCGAGCCCAGUACUUAAGGGUAUUUAUAGAAGGAAGCUUCAUUAUAUGGCAGGAUUGAUUAAAUCAACUGAACAUAGGUGAUCGAUUCAAUCUUCAGCCUUUCUCCCUUCCUGAAGGUUGUGGGCAGAAAAUUCCAAGCUUCUAAUCAUGACUUGAUUGGUCCUGUAAACAAUCCCAAUCCUGAAGCUAGCCACCAGCCCUCUGACUAGCAUCUAAAAGACACUCUUCCCCAAGGGUUCUAGAAGUUGUGCACCAGGAAAUGGACUUAGACCAAGUAUAGGUUAUUUUAUAAUAAACCACAGUAUCUUAAGAGGUUUAAGGUUGAAAUGGUUCUCUUUUCCUCUAUGUUAAGAAAUUUCACAUGUGGGAGUUAACGUUGAAAGAUCAGUGGACAAAUGGAGAGAACCAGAUUUUGAAUUAAGCAGGAAUGCCUCUCUGUAUACUUCUUAUUCUCUGCAACGAAUGCGUGUUGGCAUUAGAAGGCUGAACUGCACAACACAUACAGAAUAUUAAUAUUCAGUAAACAAUCAUGAUUACAGUCACCAAGUGCCAAGUAUCUGCUGUCUGAGUGUUUCCAGCCUCCUUUUAAAAUAGUGCAGCUGUUACAUUAAUGGGCGAGGAUCCAGGGUAAUAGGAAGGAAUAAAAAUUGUUGCAUUUGAUUAGUUCUAGUGGAUGUCAUCUUCAAAAUGCGACUAAUUUGAUAAUACCAGAGCAUUUCUGAGGGAAGAAAGAAAAUAAGAAUAAUGUUGUGUAAAUAGAUACAUUAUUAUUUUCAUCUCUUUUGACAUUGACAUUCUCGAAGCAAAAUGACAGCGAGGAAGUGAGAAAUAAGUGAAGCAGCCUUUUCUGUCUAUGGAUAAUUGCAUGAAGGGCUGACAGUUCUGGGCCAGAGGAGCAAGAGUGGGUCCAAUGCAGACUGGCUUUUCCCUUGGAAUUGUUAUAGCAACUCAAAUUCAAAGAAUGUUUAAUAUGUUCCUGGCCCUUUGCUAGCAGCCUCACGUAGAUUAGAGCAUUUAAUCUUCACCACCAACCUGCAGAGUUAAGCACUGUUAUCACUGUCAUUUUACAGAUGUGAAAAUGGAAGCCCAGGAGUCAGGCAACUUCUCAAGGUCACAGAGCCAGAGGUGGUGCUAGCAUCUGUACUCAGGCCUGUCGCUCCCUCAGCUACUAUGAUCUGUUGUUUCUCAAAGUGGACUGGCUAGACAAAGAGGGCCAUGUCAUAGGUAGCCCACCAGGUUACUGGUCCUCAAGUUUUAAAUCAGCUAUUGUGGGAGGAAAAAUUUUAAAAAAAUUAAUUUUAAUUUUAUGCAUUGAAAAUAGUUUCCAUCAAGCCAAGUUGAGGCCACUUUUGCACUGUGGUCUUUGAAAUGCUCUGUCUCUUCUUGUUCCUUUUUUCAUGUUCCUCGGUUUGUAAAGCAGGUCUACAGAAGAAUUAAAUUCAUACCUAAUUAGGAAGGAAGGAAGGAAGGAAGGAAGGAAGGAAGGAAGGAAGGAAGGAAGGAAGGAAGGGGCCUAGAAAUGCUUAAAACUAAAAUUUUGGUUUUGAACCUACUGACAUUGCUAUGGCUUGGAUAACUCUCCCCCAAAGACUCACACAGUAAAGACUUGAUCCCCAGGCCAUGGUAUGUUUUGGAGGCACAGGAACCUUUAAAAACUGGGGACUAGUGUGAGAAAGUUAGGACAUAGAGGGAGUGCCUCCCAGCCAUGAGGUGAGCAGGUGGCUUUACCAGGGGCCUCCUGCCAUGACGUGCUGACAUGCCACAGGCCCAAAGCAACAGGAACAACUGGACUGGAACCUCUGAAACUGUGAGCCAGGAUAAGCGUUUCCUCCUUUCAUUUCUUCUCUCUCUCUCUCUCUCUCUCUCUCUCUCUCUCUCUCUCUCUUUUGUACUAGUUAUUGAACCCAAUGGUGCUUAACCAUUAAGCCUGCCAUUUUUAAUAUUUUAUUUAGAAAUGGGGGUCUCACUGAGUUGCUUAGGGCCUCACUAACUUGCUAAGGCUGACUUUGAACUCACAAUCCUCCUGCCUCAGCCUCCUGAACCACUGGGAUUAUAGGCAUGCACCCCUAUGCCCAGUUUCUCUUUUUAUAUGUUUGAGAAACUCUCCCUAUACAGCAUCCACGUCUGAGGGAAAACAAACUCCACCUUAAGCUCCAAGGAAAAAUCCUGAUUCAUUUAAUUCUAUACCAAUCAUAGCAAUCCUGUCCUUGCUUCCCUCCCCUCCCCCACGAUUCACCCUGGGAACUGGACUGAGGCCAAUGAGUAGAUGGCAAUUCUCCAGAAACUGAUAUAACAACAGGCACGUGCCCUUCGUGGGUCCAAGAAGGCUAAAAGGAGAGAUCUUUUCUUCAUACUUAGGCAUGAGACUUCUACUUGUUCCCAGCUGAUAAUGGCAGCGGACAGGGAUGCUGAUGUGGAGACAAACGGAUGCAGACAGGCUGAGGCUGGGGACCAGGGAGCUGUGGAGUGGGAGCCCUGUGUGUAUUGGGGCUGGGAAUUGACCUGCCUCUGAAUCUCCUGUGACGUGAGACAAUACAUUUCCCUGAUGUGUAAGCCCGUUAGAGUCAGGUUUUCUGUGCCUUCCUGACACACCAUCAUCCUAACUGCCUACAAUAGUAGAGUGGACACAUGUUGCUUGCCUUCCUAAAACCUGUUCCCCUUUCCCACCCAACAACAGUAGCCCUGAUUUUUUUUUUCAGGGAUCCAUCCCCUACCAUCUUGCCAUGUGGCUUCAAUGGAGAGUCAUUCUUUGGGGUCCACGCGGGUCUGUUCCCUGGACGCCCUGGUUGGUUCAGCCUAGUCACAGAGGUAACAGGAAAGUUGCUGAGGCUUCUGAAAACAAGCCUCUCCUCUUUCCCAUAGGAGAACCAGGUGCCUAGUUCUCUUCUCUCCUGGACAGCAGGUGAGCAUGGGGCCUGUGUGAGUUCCCUAGGCCUGCUGUAACCAGUCACCAUGAACUGUGGCUUCAGUCAGCAGAAGUGUAUUUAUUCUCUUGCAGUGCUGAGAACCCAGAGUUCAAAUGCAAGGUGUUGACAGGGUGAGGCUUCCUCUGAAAGCUUUUGGUAAGGAUCCUUCCUUUCAUCUUCCAACCUUUCCCUGUGUGGCUCUGUGUUCAAAUUUCUGUCUUUUUAUAAAGAACCAGCCAUUGAAUGAGAGCCCAUCCUAAUUCAGUAUGACCUCAUCCAAACUUGCUGACGUUACAAAGACCCUAUUUCCAAACCACUUUCACAGGUCUCAGGUAGAUGUGACUUUUGGAGUAACACUAUUAAAUCCAGUAGAGGGCCUAGGACAGUUGCAGCUGUUUUUGCUAUCCUGAAGGAACCCAAUCCGAGAAUGAAGUGAACACACAGAGCCAUGCAGCUCAAGAUAAUCUCAAAGCAAGAGACAUCUUCUGUCUUCUAGAUCAAACUAUGCCUGAAGCAAACUUUAGAAUUUUAAUCUACUCUAACCUAGAAUUUUCUGUUUUUAUUUAAGAUACUUUGUGCUACAGUUUUCUUUUGCUAGUUAAAGUCAGAAUUCUCAUGGAUAGAAAUUGAUCUGAAUAUGUUGAAAGGAGGAAAAAGUUCAUGCUGAACAAUCAGGAAUGGCAUGAGAAAAAAAUGAUCAAAAGAAAAAUAAUAGGAAUAUUGGCUACAGGAAAGUAGCUAAGUAGAUGAGCGGAGAGGCAUACAAUGAUAUAGGUUGGUUAGUAUAAGUUUUUGGAGGUCUGUACAUUUCAAGCUAAAUAAUUGAAAAAUUUCUAUAAGUACUUGGCUUAUAAGUUUUUUUUUAACAAGGAAACUGAAUCAAUUAAUGUGGCAUUUUAGGUUAAUUAACAGUGAAGUGAAGUUAUAUUAAAAGGGGGCAAAUUAGAAGAAGAAAAACUAAUUAGAAGAAGCCAGAAGCAAGAUCAAAAUUUGAUUCUGUUGAUGUUUUCCGAUUCAUUCAAGAGUAGAGGGAUGGCUCUUAACUUCUGGAUUUCCCAAACCUGGCUUCCUUCCUCUUCCCAGAACCAUUGUACUCUUUCUGCAUUAGGGGCUCUGCGCUGGCUGUCCCCACUGCCAGAAAUGCUUCUUCAUCCUAAUCUUUACAUGUCUCAAUCCUUAUUCAAUUCUCAGCUCACGAGUCACCUCCUCAGAGGGGACUUCCCAGACCAGUCAGGGGGGGCAGAACCACUUGUCCCUGUCUGUCAUACCUUGCUAGGCACCUGUCCCUCUCUAUCAUACUGCCCUAUUUAGAUUUUCUGUAGCAGCACCAGCUGAUAUUUUCUUAUUUAUUUAUUAAUUCUUGGAGUCCCUUCUCCUCCCCAGUUACAAAAUAAGCCCCAUAAGAGUUGGAUCAUAAGAGUUGUUGACCAUUUCAGUGUUGUAUCUCCAGUACCCAGUAGGAGCUCAUUAAUUACGUGUUAUAUGACUGAAUCAUAAAUAAAUUUGGCUUUGAAGUUUUAAGACCGGUGAAAUAUAAAAUCAUUAAGUUAAACGAAUCUUAGUGGAUCAGCACAAUUUAAUAACUGCUAAUUGAGUGAUAAAAUAUUUUAAAAAUAAAUUUUACUCACAAAGCACACAGAAAUGGAAGAACUGAAGUAUGUAAGUAUUUUUCUCAGUAUUUCAAAAAGUUAUGGGUAAUUUUCAGAACAACACAGUUGUCUGUUUCCACCAGAAAUGCCUUGGGCAUGAAGAAAAGCCCAGGGGAAGUGUGAAGGAAUUUAUUUAAGCUUUUGUUUCCAUUUUCCCCAGUGGUAGUUUCAAGACCUGUAUUGUAUAACUAGCUUGGGGUUUCUAGAGCAACUGAGUCUCUGAAAUGAUUGGGAAUAAGAAGCAUCCUCUAUUUUAUUUUAACUACAACAGAACCUUCUCGUCCCCUGACUUGCUCUCGAGUAACUAGAAACCUCUGUGCUACUUGCCUAGACAAAAGUGCUUUUGACUUCAGCAUGAGGCUCUCUCACUAUUAAUAAUUGUGUUCUUUUUUCUUGAAAUAUGCCACAGUUCACUUUUCAGUCCUUUAUGAAAAAUCUUUGUUGCAUCAAAUGAAGAUCAAGCCUGAGCAAAGGAACAGAGGGGCACAUUCCGCCAUGCCGAGAACUUUCUGUGCCUACUUUCUCCACUGGUUUCCCAGGCUGCUGUCAUUUGUAAUUUACCAUUGUGACUUUUUCUGAUAUUACAAUGAAUGGGCUUGUAUGUAACACCCAUUUUCCUCUUUUGACGGAAUUGACUAGCAAAUUAUUUGAAGUUGCCUCUUGAGGCCAUGAGGGGGAAAAUGUCAGUGUUAGCUAAAAGGAAUUGGCCAGUCUGAGUAAAUGGAC
RNAcentral lists this long non-coding RNA (15603 nucleotides) under Marmota monax (woodchuck). Lineage: Eukaryota; Metazoa; Chordata; Mammalia; Rodentia; Sciuridae. The record is from RNAcentral.